Hafnia alvei FB1 is the source of this 125-nucleotide regulatory RNA element. It matches the Rfam family "Phenylalanine leader peptide". The record is from Rfam. NCBI's taxonomy places the organism in Bacteria, Pseudomonadati, Pseudomonadota, Gammaproteobacteria, Enterobacterales, Hafniaceae.
CAAGCAUGCACGCUGCUAUUUUCCGUUUCUUUUUUUACUUUAGCGCCUGAAUUCAGGAGGCUUUGCGCGUAAGAAAAGAAACGAAAAAUAGCGCUGAAAGCCUCCCUCGUGGAGGCUUUUUUUUU